Molecule: ribosomal RNA, 1173 nt
Filed under: Triticum aestivum (bread wheat)
Lineage: Eukaryota; Viridiplantae; Streptophyta; Magnoliopsida; Poales; Poaceae
Description: partial small subunit ribosomal RNA
Source: RNAcentral
AUGCCGAGAUCCAGGGGGUCCGAGCUGCCGCAGCGGGCGUCGCCGCGCGCGCCGCUGCACCUCAAGACCACCGCCUCCUCCGAGGCCAAUGGCGCGCACCACCGCCUCCUCGUCGACCGCAGCAGCCCCAAGGUCGCCGACCGCCACUCGCCCCGCAGCCCGCUGCCCGAGAAGAAGCGCGCGGGCACUCGGGUGGCGGAGCUGGAGACCAAGCUGGGGAAGGUGCAGGACGAGCUCAAGAAGCUGCGGGAGCAGCUCGUCUCCGCGGAGGCCGCCAAGAAGGACGCGCAGGUCGCGCUCGAGGAGGCCAAGAAGCACGUCGGCGCCAAGGGGAGCCCCAAGCCGCCGGCGUCUCCUCCCUCCCCCGCCCCUCUACCGGUCCAAGACGAGAAGAAAACCGAGGAGGUGAAGAUCGUUGAAGAACCGGCGGCCGAGGAAGCGGAGGAGGAGGAGAGCAGCAUAAACUCCCCGGCGACCGAUGUGUUCGAGGUCGUCCCGACCGAGUCGGGCGACAAGGAGAACCAGAGCGCGCUCGUCGCCGAGGACAGCGAGGAGGUGAGCUGUGGAGACAAGGCGGCACUGGCCGAUGCCGAGGAGGAUGUGGAAGUGGAGGAGACCAAGACCAUGAUUGAGGAGGACAAGAAGGACUCCGCGGCCGCCAUUGAAGGCGGCGAAAAGGAGAACCCGGAGGUCGUGGAGCUCAAGGCCCAGCUGAUUGCCAAGGAGAUGGAAGUCGCCGUGCUCACGGCCGACAAUGCGGAGCUCAAGAAGCAGGCCGACGAGGCCGCGGCGGCGGUCAAGAGGGCUGACGAGGAGGCUGUGGCCAAGGCUUUCCUCAUCGAGCAGGAGCUCAAGGAGAACGCGGCGCGGGAGGCCCGGAUGGGCGAGCAGCUGAGGGCGUCCGAGGCCGCGCGCGAGGCGCUGGACGCCGAGAUGCGGCGCCUGCGCGUGCAGACCGAGCAGUGGCGCAAGGCGGCCGAGGCGGCCGCCGCGGUGAUCGGCGGGGACGCGCACCUCGUCGGUCACCAUGGCCUCGCCGGCAAUGGAAGCAACGGGUGGGGGUCCCCGGCGACGAUGCCGGACGACGGCGACGACGAGGGGUUCGGCAGCAAGCGGAAGGGCGCCGGCAUCCGGAUGCUCGGCGACCUGUGGAAGAAGAAGGGCAACAAGUGA